RNAcentral lists this ribosomal RNA (651 nucleotides) under uncultured bacterium. RNAcentral describes it as "bacterial SSU rRNA". It matches the Rfam family "Bacterial small subunit ribosomal RNA", at positions 8 to 648 of the family's 1533-position model. The record is from RNAcentral.
AGAGUUUGAUCCUGGCUCAGGAUGAACGCUAGCUACAGGCUUAACACAUGCAAGUCGAGGGGCAGCAUGGUCUUAGCUUGCUAAGGCCGAUGGCGACCGGCGCACGGGUGAGUAACGCGUAUCCAACCUGCCUUACACUCUUGGACAGCCUUCUGAAAGGGAGAUUAAUACAAGAUGUUAUCAUGAGUAAGCAUUUUCACAUGAUUAAAGGUUUACCGGUGUAAGAUGGGGAUGCGUUCCAUUAGAUAGUAGGCGGGGUAACGGCCCACCUAGUCUUCGAUGGAUAGGGGUUCUGAGAGGAAGGUCCCCCACAUUGGAACUGAGACACGGUCCAAACUCCUACGGGAGGCAGCAGUGAGGAAUAUUGGUCAAUGGACGAGAGUCUGAACCAGCCAAGUAGCGUGAAGGAUGAAGGUUCUAUGGAUUGUAAACUUCUUUUAUACGGGAAUAAACGAAUCCACGCGUGGAUUUUUGCAUGUACCGUAUGAAUAAGGAUCGGCUAACUCCGUGCCAGCAGCCGCGGUAAUACGGAGGAUCCGAGCGUUAUCCGGAUUUAUUGGGUUUAAAGGGAGCGUAGAUGGGUUGUUAAGUCAGUUGUGAAAGUUUGCGGCUCAACCGUAAAAUUGCAAUUGAUACUGGCAGUCUUGAGUA